This is a long non-coding RNA of Ananas comosus (pineapple), 503 nucleotides long. RefSeq lists it as uncharacterized. The transcript has 2 exons. Lineage: Eukaryota; Viridiplantae; Streptophyta; Magnoliopsida; Poales; Bromeliaceae. The record is from RefSeq and is a predicted model, not a curated record.
GCGAAGGAGCCGACCAGCGAGUAGAGGUUCAGGAUGCCCACCAGGAUCUCCACCUUCGUGUCGCUGAUCUUCAGGUCCUCCUUGAUGAACAGCACCGCCCCGCUCAUCACUCCGAUGUCUGAAAACCAACCAUGCACUCCCUGAGAGGAUGGAGGUCAUGGAGGCAAGGGUGGCGCAGGCGAAGGCGAACCUCACAUUCCGGCGAUUCUUCGGCUCCGGAACUAUUACUUCUUCCAGUAACGAGCUCCUCAUCGUCGUCGGCGGCUGCGGUGGCAGCGCCGGCGGAGUAGAACCAGCUAUAACUUUAGCUUCUGGGUUUGGACUAGCCAUUGUUAUGUGGUUUGAGAGAGAGAGAGAGAGAGAGAGAGAGAGUUGGGUAUGUAAUUGGGUUAUAUAGACAAAAGAGGUGCUAGACAUGUACAAAGGAAAGGACAAAUGCAUACAAUUAUCGGAACUACGUACGAAUAACUUUUGAAACAGCUACAAAUAUUUCAAAAUUUCAA